Lontra canadensis (Northern American river otter) is the source of this 671-nucleotide long non-coding RNA. RefSeq lists it as uncharacterized. The record is from RefSeq and is a predicted model, not a curated record. Lineage: Eukaryota; Metazoa; Chordata; Mammalia; Carnivora; Mustelidae. The transcript has 4 exons.
GGAUUCUGCAUAUAAUGUGUCAAUAUGACCUUGUAGGUGACCAAAUGCUUUCUCCUUCUCACAAGAAAAUUGUUAAGGAUCGCAUUACGCAUGCUCCAAGAUUCUGAUUCCACAGCUCUGGGGCAGGACCAGAGUUCUGCAUUUCCAGCAGGCUCAGUGGUGAUGCCAAUGUUGCUGUUCCAAGAACCACAUAUUGAAUAGCAAAGUCCUAAACAGGCCUGCCUCAAACAUGUCUCGUAAAUGUCUGUGACUUUUCAUAGGAAGACAGUAUCUUGAAAUGCCAGAUCUAUUCUGGAAAUAGAGAAGUAAGGAGAGACCCAGAUAAGAAUAAUGUGCAUCGUUAUUUUGGCUUUGGAAGAAAAAGAUAAGCCCGGUGAAAGGACGUUCAAGCAAAUGAGAACAGAGACAAAUGUGUUGAGGGCAAUUUUCCCAGAAGGGGACAUCUGGCAAUGUCUGUAGGCAUUUUUGAUUGCCACAACUGCGGAAGUAGAAGCCAAGGACGUUGCAAAACAUCCUACAAUGCACAGAGCAGUUCCUCACAACAGAGAAUGCUCUGGUCCAAAUGUCAAUAGUACCAACGUUGGGAAACUGAUGUGACUACGUGGUAAGUCGAGAGAUUCAGCAUCAUACUUUUUUUUGGAACUUUAAGUAUCCUCCACCCCACUGCCUUU